GGAAGUAAAAGUCGUAACAAGGUCUCCGUUGGUGAACCAGCGGAGGGAUCAUUACCGAGUUUACAACUCCCAAACCCAAUGUGAACGUUACCAAACUGUUGCCUCGGCGGGGUCACGCCCCGGGUGCGUAAAAGCCCCGGAACCAGGCGCCCGCCGGAGGAACCAACCAAACUCUUUCUGUAGUCCCCUCGCGGACGUUAUUUCUUACAGCUCUGAGCAAAAAUUCAAAAUGAAUCAAAACUUUCAACAACGGAUCUCUUGGUUCUGGCAUCGAUGAAGAACGCAGCGAAAUGCGAUAAGUAAUGUGAAUUGCAGAAUUCAGUGAAUCAUCGAAUCUUUGAACGCACAUUGCGCCCGCCAGUAUUCUGGCGGGCAUGCCUGUCCGAGCGUCAUUUCAACCCUCGAACCCCUCCGGGGGAUCGGCGUUGGGGAUCGGGACCCCUCACCGGGUGCCGGCCCUGAAAUACAGUGGCGGUCUCGCCGCAGCCUCUCCUGCGCAGUAGUUUGCACAACUCGCACCGGGAGCGCGGCGCGUCCACGUCCGUAAAACACCCAACUUUCUGAAAUGUUGACCUCGGAUCAGGUAGGAAUACCCGCUGAACUUAAGCAUAUCAAU
Molecule: ribosomal RNA, 616 nt
Filed under: Trichoderma pubescens
Lineage: Eukaryota; Fungi; Ascomycota; Sordariomycetes; Hypocreales; Hypocreaceae
Description: eukaryotic LSU rRNA
Rfam family: 5.8S ribosomal RNA (bases 239-392)
Source: RNAcentral